This 2268-nucleotide long non-coding RNA is filed under the name Triticum aestivum (bread wheat). RNAcentral's name for it is "long non-coding RNA (TAES_LNC011478)". The record is from RNAcentral. Lineage: Eukaryota; Viridiplantae; Streptophyta; Magnoliopsida; Poales; Poaceae.
AACUAUUCAUGGUGAGAACCAUAUAAGUAAUUUAGUCUAUAUUAAUUAGUUUCCACUAGAAACAAGUUGUGGUCAUGGCGUUCUAUCUAUCCCAAGUCCUCUUUCUGGCCACGGUAGCCAAAUCAUAUAAGUUAUUUCUGUAUGAUCUGACCUAAGCACUACUGUUUGCAAGUAACCUUCCAUAUCAAAAUCAACUUCUAUAUGAUCUGACCUGUUGAGCUCAUCACAAAGACCAUAAAAUCGGCUCUAUCCCUGAUGUCCGAUAAAAAAGGGGAACUAUAGCCUCAGAUCGAAAAAGUUUCUUUUCUUUUGUGAUUUUGCAACGGGACUUGUGCAAUUGGUAGAUAGAAUUUGCCUUCCGAAAUUUUUCCUUGAGACCAUGAGAGUCUGAAGAAAAAAUGAUUAAUUAUUAAUGUUGUUAUAUUUAUGCAAGUUGAAUGCUAUUAAAAAUUUCUUAUUUCCCUUAUCGGGAAUGAAUUGUGAUUUAUACUAGCUGUUAGACAAAUAUUGGAACACAGUGUGCAUGAUAGUUCUUUUUAGAAUACGUAAAGAACUUUGUGUCCCGAUGAACUCAUAGAAAAAGAGAUUUGAGAUUAUGUCCAAGCCUAAAGAAGGGCCACGUCUAAAAUAGAACACCACACCCCUUUUUAAAAUUGCUAACGGGUUGAUGUUGUUGCAUGUCGUGGCGGGGACGGCUGUGUAGCAUCCGUAUGCGCACUGCUUGUGCUGGGCGCCGAUCUGGAGGCCCCUGAUUGGAAGGGACGCCACUGGAGUUGCUACGGGAGAUGGUAGCGGUACACCCAGUGGCAAGGCACCAUAUGACAGACAAUUGUGGUCUGCAUUUUUUUAACCAAAAUAUUGAAAAUGUUCUGAUUUUACCAGAAUACUGAUGUGGACAUUCAAGCUGCAAUAGUGGAGCUGGAUGUGCUGCUAUAGAUUGGUCCUUGCAGCUUAUGAAGGCAUCAACUAUUGGCGGCACACAAUUGUGGAGCUUAAGAUUCCCCACCCUUAUUUCUGAAGGAAAGCUAAAGUUCGGGGACCCUAUUCAUACAACACAACCGUUGGAGAUGGAAAAUCCGAGGCACUUAGUGAAAUCAAAAGGUUUUGUGAGAGAAUUCAAAGAAGCACUCAAAAUAAAGCUAUCAGGAUAGCAUUCUGAUAUAACAAAAUGGCAACGUUUAUUUCCUAAUGGUAUUCCAAUGAGCGUAGACGGGUAAUUAAUUCAUAAUAAAACAUUUAUUUUUCUUAUCAUCAUAUUUAAUAUAAUAAUAAUUUUACCAUUUUAUGCUCUUGUGGAAUGGUAAAGACUUGGCGAAGCCGGUUUGCACAUCGAGUAUUUUCUGUUACACAUGUGCUUAGACCUUCCAUGUGAAACAUAUACUUUUGCAGGAUGGGUAUGAGUUGAUGAAGCAACUUUUUAUUAUAUUUUCUCAAACAUCAUGCAAAUGAAGCUAAAGACAACUUUCAUAAUACCGUGCGAGAAUUUCCUAAGCGCAUCAAGUAGAUCUCAAUAGUUUGUAAUAGAUUUUGAGUUGGAUCAUCACUUUAUAUAUAUUCAUUGUUAGUUUGCAUUUUGUUAUCAGUUUAUAUUACAAGUGAAGUGGACUUUAAUUAUUAUGCAAUUGUGACAGUUUUAUAUUAUCCUAGCUGUGAAAUUUAGCAUGCAUUAUCUUUAUAUAACUUCAGCAAAAUAUUUCAGAAGCCCAUGGCAACCAGAUUUUUAUGUCAAUCCACCAUAUUUUCCAGCCAGUUGGGGAACUGAGUGCGGUAGCGGAGCUGUGGGAGUGGUGGACAUGCAAUGAGGGAAGGACAAAGAAUAGAGGAUUAGGAAGGACAGAUGGAGGUGUCGGAUCUGAGAGAAAAGAGGGAAAUAUCGAAGGGAGCUGGCAUGGAAAGAAAGCGAAGUUGUGCCCCAAGGUUAGAGUGUGAUCGUGCUAUAAAUGUUACCUUUUAUCAAUGCCCGUGUUCAUUCUCGAAGGCUCCACACAAUCAUUGUGAAGGAACAUGGCUAACUCAUUGAGGACAACCAUUGUGGUGAUUUCUAAGCUCAAUUUCUGGUGGAGUAGUCUCAUGACAAAUUAAGACGACAACCCACGAGUAACUCAUAAAUUUAUAAAAUCACCUUGUUUUUUCAUGCAUAUUCAUGUUACCUACAAACGUUAGAUGUGAUUGAUUUAGGGAAGAAACAAUGGAAGAAAUGGUGGUUUUGCAAUGUAAAAUAUAUGUCUGAAUCAAGUAUUGUUUAUUUAAUCAUCUAUUUCAUUUUUU